Molecule: ribosomal RNA, 465 nt
Filed under: Vreelandella stevensii
Lineage: Bacteria; Pseudomonadati; Pseudomonadota; Gammaproteobacteria; Oceanospirillales; Halomonadaceae
Description: partial 16S ribosomal RNA
Rfam family: Bacterial small subunit ribosomal RNA
Source: RNAcentral
CCUGCGGGUGGCUGCAGUGGGGAAUAUUGGACAAUGGGCGAAAGCCUGAUCCAGCCAUGCCGCGUGUGUGAAGAAGGCCUUCGGGUUGUAAAGCACUUUCAGUGGGGAAGAAAGCCUUGGGGCUAAUACCCUCGAGGAAGGACAUCACCCACAGAAGAAGCACCGGCUAACUCCGUGCCAGCAGCCGCGGUAAUACGGAGGGUGCGAGCGUUAAUCGGAAUUACUGGGCGUAAAGCGCGCGUAGGCGGUCUGAUAAGCCGGUUGUGAAAGCCCCGGGCUCAACCUGGGAACGGCAUCCGGAACGGUCAGGCUAGAGUGCAGGAGAGGAAGGUAGAAUUCCCGGUGUAGCGGUGAAAUGCGUAGAGAUCGGGAGGAAUACCAGUGGCGAAGGCGGCCUUCUGGACUGACACUGACGCUGAGGUGCGAAAGCGUGGGUAGCAAACAGGAUUAGAUACCCUAGUAGUC